This is a long non-coding RNA of Solea senegalensis (Senegalese sole), 925 nucleotides long. RefSeq lists it as uncharacterized. NCBI's taxonomy places the organism in Eukaryota, Metazoa, Chordata, Actinopteri, Pleuronectiformes, Soleidae. The record is from RefSeq and is a predicted model, not a curated record. The transcript has 4 exons.
CCCUAUGUCACCUUGGAUUGGCACCAGCAACCCUCAUGUGGAGGAUGGUAGAUUGAUUGAAGAAAAGACACCAGGUGUUUAUCUCAAGGAACCUGUCACGGACACAGAGACAUGAACUGAAUCAAACAUGGAGAUUGCUGCCUUCUCUCGCAGGCUAUCGCUUACGAGGCAAAAGGCCACUUGAGGAAUGACAGGGCCGACAUGACUGACAUUAGCUGCUCUCGCCUCAGCAGACUCCACUCUCCUCUGUGGAAAAACUGCUGACAACUCAUCAGCACAUUGAAAACCACCAAUGAGGACGCUCCGUCCCCUCCUCCUUCGCCUCCCACUCUCCUCCAAAGGCUCCGACCAGGAGUGGUGCUGAAAGACUGAACGGUGGGAGAGAGAAAGGUCGGUGCUCUCAUUUCAGCGCUCCCGUCCAGACCUGUGAAGGCAAGAGUCGUCCGCUGUGCGAAGAUGCAGAUUACACAUCACAGUGAUGCAUGUCUCUGCUGAUGUGUUGGAUGUCUUUACAUGAACCAGAAAAUGUGUUAUCUGAUGGAGAGCUCCCUUAAUUCCAGACCGUCUUCUACUACCAUCCCCGUACAAGCCUCAAGGCCAGGCAUCAAGCAUCUGUCCUCAGAACGUCUCAAAUAUAUAGUGUAUUAGACUUUAUUUUAUCUUCCAGCAAGAGCAAUAUUAGCAUUUGCCUCCUUGUGAGGAACGGCCCAGAUGUUCUGUUGAUUGAAGCUAAGUUUAAAUCACAAACCUGUUUUCUUAAAAGGAGAGCUCACUGCUUUGGCCCGUCCUCUCUUUGUCCCAUGACAUUGAUGUUUUAGCCUUUUAUCUAAAGGUUUUGGAAAGGGGGCUCCUAUAGUUUCUAAUGAAAGACCUAAAGUUGCAUGACUUUGACUUUUUAAACAGAUGUUUGGGACUCCUGCAUGAG